Molecule: ribosomal RNA, 205 nt
Filed under: uncultured bacterium
Lineage: Bacteria
Description: partial 16S ribosomal RNA
Rfam family: Bacterial small subunit ribosomal RNA
Source: RNAcentral
CAUGUAGGCGGAUUGAUAAGUUUGAAGUGAAAUCCUAUAGCUUAACUAUAGAACUGCUUUGAAAACUGUUAAUCUAGAAUGUGGGAGAGGUAGAUGGAAUUUCUGGUGUAGGGUAAAUCCGUGGAGAUCAGAAAGAAUACCUAUUGCGAAGGCGAUCUACUGGAACAUUAUUGACGCUGAGAUGCGAAAGCGUGGGGAGCAAACA